UCUCAACAAACUAACAGUUUUUUUUCCCUCCAAAACAACUAUACUUCUUUUCUAUUUCUAAACUUCCUCCUCCUAUACGUGACACUUGUUUAAUAAGUAAAAAAACAUAUUGAAAAGAAAAAAAAUUCAUUUUCACAAUAUGUGAUGUAAAAGAAAUAGAAAGUAGAAAAAAGUAAAAGUUACUUUGAAAGAGGCAAGCCUCAGCAAGAGAGGCGCUCGCCUCUUGGGAUUGGGGUGCGUCUCACUCAAGCAAGGCAAGGCAGCUCACCUCGCGCUAUAACUAUAGAAAAAGGAACCUACAGAAACUGUAAAUUCAAUUAUACAACUUUACAAGGCCCAAAGAUUCACAGCACAUCCCUCAAUCAAACAAGAUCAAGUAAUUCUACAUCACGACACAAAAUGUUUUGAAUGCUUUCUUUGAGCAAACACCUCCUUUUUUUCCCAUUCCCAAACAAAGGGAGAAAAUAAAAAAUGUUAGUACCACAUAUAACUAAGUUGAAAUUGAAAAGUUCAUGAUAAAAAUAGAGAUUCUAAACAGUUUACAAUCAAGACAUUCCAUCUCCUCCCCCCCACCCAAACAAAAAACCUCUCUCUUUCUCUCUCUGUUUCUAAACAGGCACUUUCAUACACAUUUCAUAUCUGAUUUACAUUCAACCAACAUUACAAAUCUUCCCUCAAAGACAAAAUUCGCCUAUGCUUUGUGUCGUUGCCUUUCAAAGUAGUCAAUACCAACAAAGUGCAUCCAACAGUCACUAAAUCUUGAAUAUCUCAUCUUGAAAUAAUUCCCAAAUUUACUUCCAACAAUGCCUAAGGCAACAAACUUAUUGCUAAGCCUGCUCUGGCCUUCAAAAAAAUCUAACUAAAGGUACUUCUCCAAAAUCAUUUGUAAGAAAAAAAUUCAAUUGAAUUCUCACACAAUUAUGCUUGAUUUUUAUUUCUUUAAAAUGAAAAUUUUAAAGUUAAAAAGAAUUGAAUUCUUUAUGGGUUACUUUGGAAUAAAUCAAUCAUACAUGAAUUCUAUUUCUUUUAAAAUGAAUUAUUUUUUUAAAUUAAAAUAACUGAAUUCUUUCAUUUGAAAAUUGAAAAAAAAAAUAAUUAAAUUGAAUUCUUACAAAAUUAUGGUUUUCAAAUAGGAGAUGAUUCACAAAAAGAAAUCAAUUGAAUUGAGGGUAAAGAAAAUCCAAGUCACUACAAUGUAUUCUAUAUUUUCCAAGCUUUAAAUUACAGAAAACAUACCUGGAGCUGCUUGAGGUAAGGUUCCAAAAGAACUCGCACUAAAUGCCAACAUCGAGAUGAUAAUUAAUCACUGGAAGAUAUCUAAUUUACAGUAAAAGAAUCAAAUAUGUUUAAAUGUAAAUAAGAUGCUAAGCCGAACAUUCAUUAGGAAUAAGUCUUGAAAUUUAAACACAGCUAAAAUUUCCGCUAAUUAUCGAGAACAGGUCUAUAAAAUAACACUCAAUUGAAUUGUUAUGAGAACCCUAAACUGUAAAUCAAAACUUGAAUUUGUUCAAAACAUGAAAAAAUAAAAGUAGAUGUACCUGUCCGUCAGAGGAAGAGGAAUUGGAGAGGAGGAAUGAAAGAGGAUUCUAUAGCAAAUGCAUUAUGCAAUCGUAGCGUCGUCGCA
This 1624-nucleotide unclassified non-coding RNA is filed under the name Hevea brasiliensis (rubber tree). Lineage: Eukaryota; Viridiplantae; Streptophyta; Magnoliopsida; Malpighiales; Euphorbiaceae. The record is from RNAcentral.